AGAGUUUGAUCCUGGCUCAGGAUGAACGCUGGCGGCGUGCCUAACACAUGCAAGUCGAACGAGGUGCUUUAGUUAGCUUGCUAACUUUUGUUACCUAGUGGCAAACGGGUGAGUAAUGCAUAAGUAACCUGCCCUUAAGUUUGGGAUAACUUUUCGAAAGAAGAACUAAUACCAGAUAUUCUCAAUCAAUCGCAUGGAUGGAUGAGGAAAGAUUUAUUGCUUAAGGAGGGGCUUAUGUCAGAUUAGCUAGUUGGUGGGGUAAUGGCCUACCAAGGCGACGAUCUGUAGCUGGUCUGAGAGGAUGGUCAGCCACACUGGGACUGAGAUACGGCCCAGACUCCUACGGGAGGCAGCAGUGGGGAAUAUUGCGCAAUGGGGGAAACCCUGACGCAGCGACGCCGCGUGAGUGACGAAGUCUUUAGGGAUGUAAAACUCUGCCAAGAGGGACGAUUGUGACGGUACCUCUAGAGGAAGCCCCGGCUAACUACGUGCCAGCAGCCGCGGUAAUACGUAGGGGGCGAGCGUUAUCCGGAUUUAUUGGGCAUAAAGAGCACGUAGGUGGCUAAGAAAGUCAGAUGUUAAAUAGUUCGGCUUAACUGAAUUAUGCAUUUGAAACUUCAUAGCUAGAGAUCGGUAGAGGAAAGCGGAACUCAUGGUGUAGCGGUGAAAUGCGUAGAUAUCAUGAGGAACACCAGUUGCGAAGGCGGCUUUCUGGACCGAAUCUGACACUGAGGUGCGAAAGCGUGGGGAGCGAACGGGAUUAGAUACCCCGGUAGUCCACGCCGUAAACGUUGUUCACUAGGUGUUGGAGGUAUCGACCCCUUCAGUGCCACAGAUAACUCGUUAAGUGAACCGCCUGGGGAGUACGACCGCAAGGUUAAAACUCAAAGGAAUUGACGGGGGCCCGCACAAGCAGUGGAUCAUGUGGUUUAAUUCGACGAUACGCGAAAAACCUUACCUGGGUUUGACAUCUGCGGAAUCCUUGGGAAACUUAGGAGUGCCAGCAAUGGAACCGCAAGACAGGUGGUGCAUGGCUGUCGUCAGCUCGUGUCGUGAGAUGUUGGGUUAAGUCCCGCAACUAGCGCAACCCCUUUCCUAUGUUGCCAGCACUAACGGUGAGAACUCAUAGGAUACUGCCUGUAAAAAGCAGGAGGAAGGUGGGGAUGACGUCAAGUCAUCAUGCCCCUUACAUCCAGGGCUACACACAUGAUACAAUGGCCGGUACAAACGGUCGCGAAACCGCGAGGUGAAGCAAAUCUGAUAAAACCGGUCCCAGUUCGGAUUGUAGUCUGCAACUCGACUACAUGAAGGUGGAAUUGCUAGUAAACGCAGAUCAGCACGCUGCGUUGAAUACGUUCCCGGGCCUUGUACACACCGCCCGUCACACCAUGAAAGUUGGAAACACCCGAAGCCAAUGUACUAACUCUUCGGAGAGGUAGUUGUCGAAGGUGGGUUCAGCGAUUGGGGUGAAGUCGUAACAAGGUA
This 1485-nucleotide ribosomal RNA is filed under the name metagenome. Its description in RNAcentral is "bacterial SSU rRNA". It matches the Rfam family "Bacterial small subunit ribosomal RNA". The record is from RNAcentral.